RNAcentral lists this transfer RNA (74 nucleotides) under Oceanirhabdus seepicola. Its description in RNAcentral is "tRNA-Trp". It matches the Rfam family "tRNA". From Rfam's summary of the family: Transfer RNA (tRNA) molecules are approximately 80 nucleotides in length. Their secondary structure includes four short double-helical elements and three loops (D, anti-codon, and T loops). Lineage: Bacteria; Bacillati; Bacillota; Clostridia; Eubacteriales; Clostridiaceae. The record is from RNAcentral.
AGGGGUAUAGUUAAGCGGCAUAACCAUGGUCUCCAAAACCAUUAUCGGGGGUUCGAUUCCCUCUACCCCUGCCA